AGGGUUCGAUUCUGGCUCAGGAUGAACGCUAGCUACAGGCUUAACACAUGCAAGUCGAGGGGCAGCAUGUUGGUUGCUUGCAACCGAUGAUGGCGACCGGCGCACGGGUGAGUAACGCGUAUCCAACCUACCCUUGUCCAUCGGAUAACCCGUCGAAAGGCGGCCUAACACGAUAUGCGGUUCACAGCAGGCAUCUAACGUGAACGAAAUGUGAAGGAGAAGGAUGGGGAUGCGUCUGAUUAGCUUGUUGGCGGGGUAACGGCCCACCAAGGCAACGAUCAGUAGGGGUUCUGAGAGGAAGGUCCCCCACAUUGGAACUGAGACACGGUCCAA
Molecule: ribosomal RNA, 333 nt
Filed under: uncultured bacterium
Lineage: Bacteria
Description: bacterial SSU rRNA
Rfam family: Bacterial small subunit ribosomal RNA
Source: RNAcentral